UAGGGAAUCUUCCACAAUGGACGCAAGUCUGAUGGAGCAACGCCGCGUGAGUGAAGAAGGUUUUCGGACCGUAAAGCUCUGUUGUUGGUGAAGAAGGAUAGAGGUAGUAACUGGCCUUUAUUUGANGGUAAUCAACCAGAAAGUCACGGCUAACUACGUGCCAGCAGCCGCGGUAAUACGUAGGUGGCAAGCGUUGUCCGGAUUUAUUGGGCGUAAAGCGAGCGCAGGCGGAAGAAUAAGUCUGAUGUGAAAGCCCUCGGCUUAACCGAGGAAUUGCAUCGGAAACUGUUU
RNAcentral lists this ribosomal RNA (291 nucleotides) under uncultured bacterium. RNAcentral describes it as "partial 16S ribosomal RNA". It matches the Rfam family "Bacterial small subunit ribosomal RNA", at positions 355 to 638 of the family's 1533-position model. The record is from RNAcentral.